Molecule: ribosomal RNA, 447 nt
Filed under: uncultured bacterium
Lineage: Bacteria
Description: SSU rRNA
Rfam family: Bacterial small subunit ribosomal RNA
Source: RNAcentral
AGAACGAACGCUGGCGGCAGGCCUCAAACAUGCAAGUCUAGGGGGUGUAGCAAUACAUCACCGGCGGACGGGUGCGUAACGCGUGGGAAUGUACCUAUUGGUUCGGAACAACUGAGGGAAACUUCAGCUAAUACCGGAUGAGCCCGAAAGGGGAAAGAUUUCUCGCCAAUAGAUCAGCCCGCGUCCGAUUAGCUAGUUGGUGGGGUAAAAGCCUACCAAGGCGACGAUCGGUAGCUGUUCUGAGAGGAAGAUCAGCCACACUGGGACUGAGACACGGCCCAGACUCCUACGGGAGGCAGCAGUGGGGAAUAUGGACAAUGGGCGCAAGCCUGAUCCAGCCAUGCCGCGUGGAUGAUGAAGGCCUUAGGGUUGUAAAGUCCUUUUAACGGGGAAGAUAAUGACGGUACCCGUAGAAUAAGCCCCGGCUAACUUCGUGCCAGCAGCCGC